GGUGUGAACCCUCAUUCUCCCCUCUGGGGUUGAAUGGAACUGGCCUCCCACCGCUGUCGGUGGGUUGGCUGAAAUUCGGAGAUUCAAGCUUGGACCUGUAUGGCAACAGCAAGGUAGGUAGCUCGUCUACUCCAGCUGAUGCUUUGGGUACUUGCAAGAAUCCGCAGNAAAANUCNACCUUU
RNAcentral lists this ribosomal RNA (182 nucleotides) under Ulothrix zonata. Lineage: Eukaryota; Viridiplantae; Chlorophyta; Ulvophyceae; Ulotrichales; Ulotrichaceae. The record is from RNAcentral.